UUCUGGUUUUAAUACAUUCGUUACACUUUGGCGGAUGCGACUCCAUGGCCUGAUUUUGCCAUUUCGGCCUUAAAACUUUAUAAACAAUAAAAGUACGUUUGCUAUUUUCAUUUUUUCAAGGACGUAAGUUGUGACGGAACAGAGUUCUACAUUACCGACGUGAUUCAACCGGAAAGCGUCAUUCUAACCUCAAAAAAUACCACGUGCUGCGGCAAAAGGAAAAAUUAGGGUCAUGAACAAAACCGAGGAUUCCGAGGACGUAUUGAAUUCUACAAUGGUUCACAAGACCCCAUUCAAUACAGUUUUGAGCAACUUUCUGGCACUUCUAGCAGCCAGUCUAAUCAGCCGAACGCUGAAUUUGUCCAGGCAAUCAGGAGGCCUCAGCUCCCCACCUUCAUGAAGGAUGACCCGGACAUCUGAUUUUUUUAUCAUAGAAGCAGAAUUUGCAGCAAGCAAUAUAAGGUCAGAUCAAACUAAAUAUUCAGAAACCAAGUAGCCAUAGUUUUUGUGCUAGUGGCGGAGUCUUAUAUGUCAAUAUUUUCCCAUACGUACGCAGCGUGAGACAAUGUUACACUUGUCUACAAUUUGGACACCAAAAGAAAACAUGUAGAUAUGAAGAUAAACUAUGCUUUGUAUAUGGACUUCAAUAUAUUAUAUCAAUAUUAUAUUAUAUAAUGUUGUUAAAUAGUAUAUAAUAUCAAUAUAAUAUUGAUUUCUAUAUACUCAAAGAGGGAAUGGCGUUCCUAUUGGUUCCUGUGUGGGGAUUCGCCCUAAAGUAUGUCGCUCCGCGCAGACGCGAAUUUGAACGCGUAUGCCGAUGGCGUGGAGUGGGGACGGUGUGAAGAGUACAACGGAUCAACGGACAACGGCCAUGCGGCGGCCAUUUCGUUCAGGGCCCAAGCACAGAUGUGGGAAGUGAAACGCAUUGAGCUCUAUCCUAAGGAUCUAUCCUAGGAUAGAGCUCAAUGGUGAAACCACGUUUUUAGUUGGUGACACAAAUCCAGGCGGCUCUAGUAGGCAUCGCAUACACAUAUCUAGCGUAUCGUGGUGAUAAACGGACACUACCAAGUACUGCAGCUAAAGCACUGCUAUAUCCAGCUAUUGCUUCUGGUGAGCUACGCAUAUUUUCAAUUCCAUCCACACAACGAUCAAUCAAAGGUGUUAUUUGAUUUGGAGCCGCUACACAAAUACAGCGUAAACACCAAGAAGCUGCAAGUCGGGCUGCUUGACACGGAUGAACCAGAACAGCCAUAAUUGUGUCGAUUAAACCUGAGACAUUAUAAUGAGUAGACAGCAUCAACAUGGGAACUAGCAGCUUUUGGAUUAGUUACAAGAUCAAGUACAUGGGCAACUAAUGAACCAACAUUACGUUCAAGCCAUGAACCUCCCAGCAUUUGAACAAAUACUACAUAUGCCUGCAAAAUGUUAAUAACGUAAAUAAUUGAUCAUAAAAUUCUGUAUAAAA
Molecule: long non-coding RNA, 1465 nt
Organism: Hylaeus anthracinus
Lineage: Eukaryota; Metazoa; Arthropoda; Insecta; Hymenoptera; Colletidae
Exons: 3
Source: RefSeq, a predicted model, not a curated record